RNAcentral lists this ribosomal RNA (253 nucleotides) under uncultured bacterium. RNAcentral describes it as "partial 16S ribosomal RNA". It matches the Rfam family "Bacterial small subunit ribosomal RNA", at positions 524 to 776 of the family's 1533-position model. The record is from RNAcentral.
UACGUAUGGUGCAAGCGUUAUCCGGAUUUACUGGGUGUAAAGGGAGCGCAGGCGGCGCGUUAAGUCUGAUGUGAAAACCCGCGGCUCAACUGCGGGACUGCAUUGGAAACUGGCAGUCUUGAGUGGGCGAGAAGUAUGCGGAAUGCGUGGUGUAGCGGUGAAAUGCAUAGAUAUCACGCAGAACCCCGAUUGCGAAGGCAGCAUACCGGCGCCCUACUGACGCUCAUGCACGAAAGCGUGGGUAUCGAACAGG